This 468-nucleotide ribosomal RNA is filed under the name uncultured bacterium. RNAcentral's name for it is "partial 16S ribosomal RNA". It matches the Rfam family "Bacterial small subunit ribosomal RNA", at positions 28 to 507 of the family's 1533-position model. The record is from RNAcentral.
GACGAACGCUGGCGGCGUGCUUAACACAUGCAAGUCGAACGGAAAGGCCCUGCUUUUGUGGGGUGCUCGAGUGGCGAACGGGUGAGUAACACGUGAGUAACCUGCCCUUGACUUUGGGAUAACUUCAGGAAACUGGGGCUAAUACCGGAUAGGAGCUCCUGCUGCAUGGUGGGGGUUGGAAAGUUUCGGCGGUUGGGGAUGGACUCGCGGCUUAUCAGCUUGUUGGUGGGGUAGGUGCUGACCAAGGCUUUGACGGGUAGCCGGCCGGGGAGGGUGACCGGCGACAUUGGUACUGCGGUGCGGACCAGACGCGUACGUUAGGCAGCAGUGGGGAACAUGGCACAGUGGGCGGACGCGUGAUGAAGAAGCGCCGCGUGCGGAAUGACGGCUUCCGGGUUAUGAACCGCUUUCGCCUGUGACGAAGCGUGAGUGACGGUAAUGGAUAAAGAAGCACCGGCUAACUACGUG